RNAcentral lists this transfer RNA (72 nucleotides) under Odoribacteraceae bacterium. RNAcentral describes it as "tRNA-Arg". It matches the Rfam family "tRNA". From Rfam's summary of the family: Transfer RNA (tRNA) molecules are approximately 80 nucleotides in length. Their secondary structure includes four short double-helical elements and three loops (D, anti-codon, and T loops). Lineage: Bacteria; Pseudomonadati; Bacteroidota; Bacteroidia; Bacteroidales; Odoribacteraceae. The record is from RNAcentral.
GGUCUCAUAGUUCAACGGAUAGAACGGAAGUUUCCUAAACUUCAGAUCCAAGUUCGAUUCUUGGUGGGAUCA